AUGAGUUGUAUCAGCUGGAACUAUCGGGGGCUUGGGAACCCCGAGGCUGUUCGUGAGCUUUGCAGUAUUGUGAGGCUAGAAGGACCCACUCUUCUCUUUGUUAUGGAAACGAAAAUAAAAGCAAAAAGAGUAGAGGAUUUCCAGAAUUUGCUAGGUUUUGGUGGCUGUUUUGCCAUAGACAGUGUUGGCCUCAGUGGCGGCAUUGGUCUUUUUUGGUCUAAUGAUGUUUCUGUCGAGUUGAAAACUUCAGUCGUUGCCAUAUUGAUGUUUUGGUUAGUAAUAAAGAUCAGAACUCUUCGUCAUGGAGGUUCACUGGUUUUUACGGAGCACCGCGUGUUGAAGAUAGACACAACAGUUGGUGGUUCUUGCGUACUCUAUAUACAUUACCACAUGCUGCAUGGAUGUGCAUGGGGGAUUUUAACGAGACCAUGUUUUCCAAUGAGCAUUUCAUUAGAGCUGCUCGUCCUGAGCGACAGAUGCGAGCUUUUAGGGAGGUGGUGGACGAUGUUUCCUUCUAGGACUUGGGCUGGUCAGGUAUGGCUUACACAUGGGACAAUCGACAAGACGGAGAGAACAAUGUGA
RNAcentral lists this ribosomal RNA (582 nucleotides) under Triticum aestivum (bread wheat). Its description in RNAcentral is "partial small subunit ribosomal RNA". The record is from RNAcentral. Lineage: Eukaryota; Viridiplantae; Streptophyta; Magnoliopsida; Poales; Poaceae.